AGAGUUUGAUCAUGGCUCAGGAUGAACGCUGGCGGCGUGCCUAACACAUGCAAGUCGAACGGGAAUCUUCGGAUUCUAGUGGCGGACGGGUGAGUAACGCGUAAGAAUCUAACUUCAGGACGGGGACAACAGUUGGAAACGACUGCUAAUACCCGAUGUGCCGCGAGGUGAAACCUAAUUGGCCUGAAGAAGAGCUUGCGUCUGAUUAGCUAGUUGGUGGGGUAAAGGCCUACCAAGGCGACGAUCAGUAGCUGGUCUGAGAGGAUGAGCAGCCACACUGGGACUGAGACACGGCCCAGACUCCUACGGGAGGCAGCAGUGGGGAAUUUUCCGCAAUGGGCGAAAGCCUGACGGAGCAACGCCGCGUGAGGGAGGAAGGUCUUUGGAUUGUAAACCUCUUUUCUCAAGGAAGAAGUUCUGACGGUACUUGAGGAAUCAGCCUCGGCUAACUCCGUGCCAGCAGCCGCGGUAAUACGGGGGAGGCAAGCGUUAUCCGGAAUUAUUGGGCGUAAAGCGUCCGCAGGUGGUCAGCCAAGUCUGCUGUCAAAUCAGGUUGCUUAACGACCUAAAGGCGGUGGAAACUGGCAGACUAGAGAGCAGUAGGGGUAGCAGGAAUUCCCAGUGUAGCGGUGAAAUGCGUAGAGAUUGGGAAGAACAUCGGUGGCGAAAGCGUGCUACUGGGCUGUAUCUGACACUCAGGGACGAAAGCUAGGGGAGCGAAAGGGAUUAGAUACCCCUGUAGUCCUAGCCGUAAACGAUGGAUACUAGGCGUGGCUUGUAUCGACCCGAGCCGUGCCGAAGCUAACGCGUUAAGUAUCCCGCCUGGGGAGUACGCACGCAAGUGUGAAA
This 849-nucleotide ribosomal RNA is filed under the name uncultured bacterium. RNAcentral describes it as "bacterial SSU rRNA". It matches the Rfam family "Bacterial small subunit ribosomal RNA", at positions 8 to 899 of the family's 1533-position model. The record is from RNAcentral.